This 406-nucleotide ribosomal RNA is filed under the name uncultured bacterium. RNAcentral's name for it is "bacterial SSU rRNA". It matches the Rfam family "Bacterial small subunit ribosomal RNA", at positions 491 to 896 of the family's 1533-position model. The record is from RNAcentral.
CGCCAUCAGAUCGAGUGCCAGCCGCCGCGGUAAUACGGAGGGUGCAAGCGUUAAUCAGAAUUACUGGGCGUAAAGAGCGCGUAGGUGGUUUUUAAGUCAGGUGUGAAAUCCCUAGGCUCAACCUAGGAACUGCAUUUGAAACUGGAAACUAGAGUUUUCGUAGAGGGAGGUAGAAUUCUAGGUGUAGCGGUGAAAUGCGUAGAUAUCUGGAGGAAUACCCGUGGCGAAAGCGGCCUCCUAAACGAAAAACUGACACUGAGGCGCGAAAGCGUGGGGAGCAAACAGGAUUAGAUACCCUGGUAGUCCAUGCCGUAAACGAUGUCGACUUGGAGGUUGUUUCCAAGAGAAGUGACUUCCGAAGCUAACGCAUUAAGUCGACCGCCUGGGGAGUACGGCCGCAAGGCUA